ACUGCUCAGUAACACGUGGACAACCUACCCUCAGCACGGGGAUAAACCCGGGAAACUGGGUAUAAUACCCGAUAGUUCUGGUUAGCUGGAAUGCUUCCAGGACGAAAGCUCCGGCGACUGAGGAUGGGUCUGCGGCCUAUCAGGUAGUAGUGGGUGUAAUGUACCUACUAGCCUACGACGGGUACGGGUCGUGAGAGCGAGAGCCCGGAGAUGGAUUCUGAGACACGAAUCCAGGCCCUACGGGGUGCAGCAGGCGCGAAAACUUUACAAUGCUGGCAACAGCGAUAAGGGGACCUCGAGUGCCAGGAUACAAUCUUGGCUGUCGUAAUGCCUAAAAAGCAUUGCAUAGCAAGGGCCGGGCAAGACCGGUGCCAGCCGCCGCGGUAACACCGGCGGCUCGAGUGGUAACCGCUAUUAUUGGGUCUAAAGGGUCUGUAGCCGGCCGGAUAAGUCUUUUGGGAAAUCUGGCAGCUCAACUGUCAGGCUUUCAGAAGAUACUGUUCGGCUCGAGACCGGGAGAGGUGAGAGGUACUUCAGGGGUAGGGGUGAAAUCUUGUAAUCCUUGAAGGACCACCAGUGGCGAAGGCGUCUCACCAGAACGGAUCUGACGGCAAGGGACGAAAGCUAGGGGCACGAACCGGAUUAGAUACCCGGGUAGUCCUAGCCGUAACGAUACUCGCUAGGUGUCGGCCACGGUGCGACCGUGGUCGGUGCCGUAGGGAAGCCGUGAAGCGAGCCACCUGGGAAGUACGGCCGCAAGGCUGAAACUUAAAGGAAUUGGCGGGGGAGCA
Molecule: ribosomal RNA, 791 nt
Filed under: uncultured archaeon
Lineage: Archaea
Description: bacterial SSU rRNA
Rfam family: Archaeal small subunit ribosomal RNA
Source: RNAcentral